UAUGAGAGUUUGAUCCUGGCUCAGGAUGAACGCUGGCGGCGUGCCUAAUACAUGCAAGUCGAACGAGUUCUGAUUAUUGAAAGGUGCUUGCAUCUUGAUUUAAUUUUGAACGAGUGGCGGACGGGUGAGUAACACGUGGGUAACCUGCCCUUAAGUGGGGGAUAACAUUUGGAAACAGAUGCUAAUACCGCAUAAAUCCAAGAACCGCAUGGUUCUUGGCUGAAAGAUGGCGUAAGCUAUCGCUUUUGGAUGGACCCGCGGCGUAUUAGCUAGUUGGUGAGGUAACGGCUCACCAAGGCAAUGAUACGUAGCCGAACUGAGAGGUUGAUCGGCCACAUUGGGACUGAGACACGGCCCAAACUCCUACGGGAGGCAGCAGUAGGGAAUCUUCCACAAUGGACGCAAGUCUGAUGGAGCAACGCCGCGUGAGUGAAGUUUCGGGUCGUAAAACUCUGUUGUUGGAGAAGAAUGGUCGGCAGAGUAACUGUUGUCGGCGUGACGGUAUCCAACCAGAAAGCCACGGCUAACUACGUGCCAGCAGCCGCGGUAAUACGUAGGUGGCAAGCGUUAUCCGGAUUUAUUGGGCGUAAAGCGAGCGCAGGCGGUUUUUUAAGUCUGAUGUGAAAGCCCUCGGCUUAACCGAGGAAGUGCAUCGGAAACUGGGAAACUUGAGUGCAGAAGAGGACAGUGGAACUCCAUGUGUAGCGGUGAAAUGCGUAGAUAUAUGGAAGAACACCAGUGGCGAAGGCGGCUGUCUGGUCUGUAACUGACGCUGAGGCUCGAAAGCAUGGGUAGCGAACAGGAUUAGAUACCCUGGUAGUCCAUGCCGUAAACGAUGAAUGCUAGGUGUUGGAGGGUUUCCGCCCUUCAGUGCCGCAGCUAACGCAUUAAGCAUUCCGCCUGGGGAGUACGACCGCAAGGUUGAAACUCAAAGGAAUUGACGGGGGCCCGCACAAGCGGUGGAGCAUGUGGUUUAAUUCGAAGCAACGCGAAGAACCUUACCAGUUGAUCACCUGAGAGAUCAGGUUUCCCCUUCGGGGGCAAAAUGACAGGUGGUGCAUGGUUGUCGUCAGCUCGUGUCGUGAGAUGUUGGGUUAAGUCCCGCAACGAGCGCAACCCUUAUGACUAGUUGCCAGCAUUUAGUUGGGCACUCUAGUAAGACUGCCGGUGACAAACCGGAGGAAGGUGGGGAUGACGUCAAAUCAUCAUGCCCCUUAUGACCUGGGCUACACACGUGCUACAAUGGAUGGUACAACGAGUUGCGAGACCGCGAGGUCAAGCUAAUCUCUUAAAGCCAUUCUCAGUUCGGACUGUAGGCUGCAACUCGCCUACACGAAGUCGGAAUCGCUAGUAAUCGCGGAUCAGCACGCCGCGGUGAAUACGUUCCCGGGCCUUGUACACACCGCCCGUCACACCAUGAGAGUUUGUAACACCCGAAGCCGGUGGCGUAACCCUUUUAGGGAGCGAGCCGUCUAAGGUGGGACAAAUGAUUAGGGUGAAGUCGUAACAAGGUAGCCGUAGGAGAACCUGCGGCUGGAUCACCUCCUU
RNAcentral lists this ribosomal RNA (1548 nucleotides) under Lacticaseibacillus rhamnosus. RNAcentral describes it as "bacterial SSU rRNA". It matches the Rfam family "Bacterial small subunit ribosomal RNA". Lineage: Bacteria; Bacillati; Bacillota; Bacilli; Lactobacillales; Lactobacillaceae. The record is from RNAcentral.